Long non-coding RNA from Pseudophryne corroboree (corroboree frog), 1426 nucleotides. RefSeq lists it as uncharacterized. The transcript has 3 exons. Lineage: Eukaryota; Metazoa; Chordata; Amphibia; Anura; Myobatrachidae. The record is from RefSeq and is a predicted model, not a curated record.
CACUUUAUCUCUCUGCAAUGCCUGAUACAUCAUCCGUUGAUAUGAAAGACACUGUUAUGAUGACUAUUACAUUUACAACUUGAUGCAUAUUGUGGAAAGACUGCCUGGCGCAGAUUCACGUGACCUCGCGGGUUCCGGUGACGUCAGGGCCCUGAAUCCGGAAGUUGAUGCGGGCGUCCGUGGGCUGCGGCCGGCGUCGGGUGAGACACGGGCAGCAUUUUUAUAGCGCUGGAUACAUCCCAAUAUGUUUCCUACUGAGCAUAUGCGGACGGCGGUAUUGGAGCAACAACUGCAGCUACACAGCAGAAGACUACAAGGUGUUUAAGUAGCAGAACUGGGAAACUCUGAAGUAGCAAAACCACAGGGGAAGACUGAAGGGAGCACAGAACUGGAGCACCUGCACAAGGCAGCAACAUAAAGCACUGGCAGCGUUUGGACCACAACUGAUCCCUUUUAAAAGAGGAGUUUGCCUAGGAUUGGCUGAAUGUAACACGAAGCUCAGACCAUUGGUCACAAGGAAUUGGUCUCCAAUAUGGUGGCUCCCAGUACAGCGGACACACAAGGGCCCCCUGCCUUACCUGCUUGGCUCCCUGCCUUCCGCACACCAGGGCGAGAGUCCUAGCAAUCCAACCCGGGUAGCGAGCAGGGUUGGACCCAUGUAACGGGGCAGUGUAAAUGGGUAACCUAGGUCAUCUUAGCCGGGUCUCAUUUACACUGUAUGGAGAGCUGGCUCUCCCACGCUUGGAGAUGAUGUCAUAUCCAAACACCAGCAGAGGGAAGCCCCAGCAAUAACGCGGUCCAGCCUGCAGUGUAAACAGGGUUCAAACCAUUGUAUCACAGCUUGAAAUCCACAUUCAGUGACCCGGGCUGUAAAAGUGGUAUUAACAACCUUCUCUAUUUAUUAUGGCUUCUUUGUCCAUGAAUAUGUAGUUUUUGCCACAGUGGGGUUUGUUAGCUGCAUUAUUGUGGACCAGUUAUCAGCCAAAAUGACGGAACAACAUAACAGUAAUGUCAGUGCCAGAAGAUGUGCACACCCGAACGGAGCAACACUUUAAUUGCUCCUUUGGGCGUCACCUAGUGGCCGCCAGGUGUGCAAAAAGACUUGAAUUCCCCCCGUAGAAAUGAGGAGCAGCAAUAACCUUUUAUUAUACUGGAUAAUGUUUAUGGACCUAACAUUGUCUGGAUACAAAAUCUUCUCUGGAUUGCUACCUUUCAUGAUCUCUGACUACUGAUUCUUUGGUUUCCCCCUUACCUUUCAGCAAGGCUUGCACAUUCUCUGAAUUUGCUUGUAUUGAUUGAUAACUUGGAUAUUAGUCUACUUGGUUGCCAACAACCCAGACUUUUGCUUGGACACUAGACCACAUUCCAACCUCUUGUUUUUUGGUCAUCAGAAUAGUUUUGUUAGGAUCUGGUUUCUAAUAAUAAA